RNAcentral lists this ribosomal RNA (253 nucleotides) under uncultured bacterium. RNAcentral describes it as "partial 16S ribosomal RNA". It matches the Rfam family "Bacterial small subunit ribosomal RNA", at positions 524 to 776 of the family's 1533-position model. The record is from RNAcentral.
UACGUAGGGCGCAAGCGUUGUCCGGAAUUAUUGGGCGUAAAGAGCUCGUAGGUGGCUUGUCACGUCGGGUGUGAAAGCUUGGGGCUUAACUCCAGGUCUGCAUUCGAUACGGGCUGGCUAGAGGUAGGUAGGGGAGAACGGAAUUCCUGGUGUAGCGGUGAAAUGCGCAGAUAUCAGGAGGAACACCGGUGGCGAAGGCGGUUCUCUGGGCCUUACCUGACGCUGAGGAGCGAAAGCCAGGGGAGCAAACGGG